RNAcentral lists this ribosomal RNA (410 nucleotides) under uncultured bacterium. Its description in RNAcentral is "bacterial SSU rRNA". It matches the Rfam family "Bacterial small subunit ribosomal RNA", at positions 362 to 770 of the family's 1533-position model. The record is from RNAcentral.
UAUUGGUCAAUGGGCUUACGCCUGAACCAGCCAAGUCGCGUGAGGGAAGACUGCCCUAUGGGUUGUAAACCUCUUUUGUCAGGGAACAAAGACUGGGACGCGUCCCCGGAUGAGUGUACCUGAAGAAAAAGCAUCGGCUAACUCCGUGCCAGCAGCCGCGGUAAUACGGAGGAUGCGAGCGUUAUCCGGAUUUAUUGGGUUUAAAGGGUGCGCGGGCGUUCGGUUAAGCCAGCGGUCAAAGCCGGGGGCUCACCCCCGGCCCGCCGUUGAAACUGGCAGUCUCGAGUUGGAGAGAAGUAUGCGGAAUGCGCGGUGUAGCGGUGAAAUGCAUAGAUAUCGCGCAGAACUCCGAUUGCGAGGGCAGCAUGCCGGCUCCACAUUGACGCUGAGGCACGAAAGCGUGGGUAUCG